CAGUAGCCGCGGUAAUACGUAGGGUGCAAGCGUUAAUCGGAAUUACUGGGCGUAAAGCGUGCGUAGGCGGCUUCUUAAGUCGGAUGUGAAAUCCCUGAGCUUAACUUAGGAAUUGCAUUCGAUACUGGGAAGCUAGAGUAUGGGAGAGGAUGGUAGAAUUCCAGGUGUAGCGGUGAAAUGCGUAGAUAUAGGAAGGAACACCAGUGGCGAAGGCGACCACCUGGACUGAUACUGACACUGAGGUGCGAAAGCGUGGGGAGCAAACAGGAUUAGAUACCCCAGUAGUCCCUGUCUCUUAUAC
RNAcentral lists this ribosomal RNA (301 nucleotides) under uncultured bacterium. RNAcentral describes it as "partial 16S ribosomal RNA". It matches the Rfam family "Bacterial small subunit ribosomal RNA", at positions 509 to 807 of the family's 1533-position model. The record is from RNAcentral.